RNAcentral lists this ribosomal RNA (682 nucleotides) under Agromyces sp. Its description in RNAcentral is "bacterial SSU rRNA". It matches the Rfam family "Bacterial small subunit ribosomal RNA", at positions 102 to 794 of the family's 1533-position model. Lineage: Bacteria; Bacillati; Actinomycetota; Actinomycetes; Micrococcales; Microbacteriaceae. The record is from RNAcentral.
ACGGGUGAGUAACACGUGAGUAACCUGCCCUGGACUCUGGGAUAAGCGUUGGAAACGACGUCUAAUACCGGAUAGGACCUCGGAUCGCAUGAUCUGGGGUGGAAAGUUUUUUCGGUCUGGGAUGGACUCGCGGCCUAUCAGCUUGUUGGUGAGGUAACGGCUCACCAAGGCGUCGACGGGUAGCCGGCCUGAGAGGGUGACCGGCCACACUGGGACUGAGACACGGCCCAGACUCCUACGGGAGGCAGCAGUGGGGAAUAUUGCACAAUGGGCGAAAGCCUGAUGCAGCAACGCCGCGUGCGGGAUGACGGCCUUCGGGUUGUAAACCGCUUUUAGUAGGGAAGAAGGGCUUCGGCUUGACGGUACCUGCAGAAAAAGGACCGGCUAACUACGUGCCAGCAGCCGCGGUAAUACGUAGGGUCCGAGCGUUGUCCGGAAUUAUUGGGCGUAAAGAGCUCGUAGGCGGUUUGUCGCGUCUGCUGUGAAAACUGGAGGCUCAACCUCCAGCCUGCAGUGGGUACGGGCAGACUAGAGUGCGGUAGGGGAGAAUGGAAUUCCUGGUGUAGCGGUGGAAUGCGCAGAUAUCAGGAGGAACACCGAUGGCGAAGGCAGUUCUCUGGGCCGUAACUGACGCUGAGGAGCGAAAGCGUGGGGAGCGAACAGGAUUAGAUACCCUGGUAGU